CUAUAACUUAAUUUAGUUAUGGCGGAAGGAG
This 31-nucleotide non-coding RNA is filed under the name unclassified sequences. The record is from RNAcentral.